AUUGAACGCUGGCGGCAGGCCUAACACAUGCAAGUCGAGCGGAUGAAGGGAGCUUGCUCCUGGAUUCAGCGGCGGACGGGUGAGUAAUGCCUAGGAAUCUGCCUGGUAGUGGGGGAUAACGUCCGGAAACGGGCGCUAAUACCGCAUCCGUCCUGAGGGGGAAAGGGGGGGAUCUUCGGCCCUCCCCCUUUCAGAUGAGCCUAGGUCGGAUUGGCUAGUUGGUGGGGUAAAGUCCUACCAAGGCGACGAUCCGUAACUGGUCUGAGAGGAUGAUCAGUCACACGGGAACUGAGACACGGUCCAGACUCCUACGGGAGGCAGCAGUGGGGAAUAUUGGACAAUGGGCGAAAGCCUGAUCCAGCCAUGCCGCGUGUGUGAAGAAGGUCUUCGGAUUGUAAAGCACUUUAAGUUGGGAGGAAGGGCAGUAAGUUAAUACCUUGCUGUUUUGACGUUACCAACAGAAUAAGCACCGGCUAACUUCGUG
RNAcentral lists this ribosomal RNA (484 nucleotides) under uncultured bacterium. Its description in RNAcentral is "partial 16S ribosomal RNA". It matches the Rfam family "Bacterial small subunit ribosomal RNA", at positions 30 to 507 of the family's 1533-position model. The record is from RNAcentral.